RNAcentral lists this ribosomal RNA (440 nucleotides) under uncultured Acidobacteriota bacterium. RNAcentral's name for it is "bacterial SSU rRNA". It matches the Rfam family "Bacterial small subunit ribosomal RNA", at positions 338 to 795 of the family's 1533-position model. The record is from RNAcentral. Lineage: Bacteria; Pseudomonadati; Acidobacteriota.
CCUACGGGCGGCUGCAGUGGGGAAUUUUGGGCAAUGGGCGAAAGCCUGACCCAGCAACGCCGCGUGAAGGAUGAAGUAUUUCGGUAUGUAAACUUCGAAAGAAUAGGAAGAAUUAAUGACGGUACUAUUUAUAAGGUCCGGCUAACUACGUGCCAGCAGCCGCGGUAAUACGUAGGGACCAAGCGUUGUUCGGAUUUACUGGGCGUAAAGGGCGCGUAGGCGGUGCGGUAAGUCACUUGUGAAAUCUCUGAGCUUAACUCAGAACGGCCAAGUGAUACUGCAGUACUAGAGUGCAGAAGGGGCAAUCAGAAUUCUUGGUGUAGCGGUGAAAUGCGUAGAUAUCAAGAGGAAUACCUGAGGUGAAGACGGGUUGCUAGGCUGACACUGACGCUGAGGCGCGAAAGCUAGGGGAGCAAACGGGAUUAGAUACCCCGGUAGUC